GGGAUUGCCUUAGUAACUGCGAGUGAAGCGGCAAAAGCUCAAAUUUGAAAUCGGUGCCUACCAAUCGCAUCGAGUUGUAAUUUGGAGGGACAACUUCGGGCUGAACCACACCGCAAGUUCCUUGGAACAGGACGUCAUAGAGGGUGAGAAUCCCGUGUCUUGGUGUCGGGUCAACCCAUGUGAAGUGUCUCCGACGAGUCGAGUUGUUUGGGAAUGCAGCUCAAAAUGGGUGGUAAAUUUCAUCUAAAGCUAAAUAUUGGCGAGAGACCGAUAGCGCACAAGUAGAGUGAUCGAAAGAUGAAAAGCACUUUGAAAAGAGAGUUAAAAAGUACGUGAAAUUGUUGAAAGGGAAGCGCUUGCGACCAGACUCGAUCUUUGGUGAUCAGCCGGGCUCCGGUCCGGUGCCCUCACCAUUGAUUGGGCCAGCAUCGGUUCCGACGGCGGGAUAAAAGGAGGCGGAAUGUAGCUCCCUUCGGGGAGUGUUAUAGCCACCUUCACAAUGCCGCCAGUUGGGACCGAGGACCGCGUUUCGGCUAGGAUGCUGGUGUAAUGGUCUUAAGCGACCCGUCUUGAAACACGGA
RNAcentral lists this ribosomal RNA (581 nucleotides) under uncultured Pezizales. RNAcentral describes it as "eukaryotic LSU rRNA". It matches the Rfam family "Eukaryotic large subunit ribosomal RNA", at positions 71 to 665 of the family's 3401-position model. Lineage: Eukaryota; Fungi; Ascomycota; Pezizomycetes; Pezizales. The record is from RNAcentral.